This 245-nucleotide ribosomal RNA is filed under the name uncultured bacterium. RNAcentral's name for it is "partial 16S ribosomal RNA". It matches the Rfam family "Bacterial small subunit ribosomal RNA", at positions 524 to 768 of the family's 1533-position model. The record is from RNAcentral.
UACGAAGGGGGCUAGCGUUGUUCGGAAUCACUGGGCGUAAAGGGCGCGUAGGCGGGCUCUUAAGUCGAGGGUGAAAUCCUGUGGCUCAACCACAGAACUGCCCUCGAUACUGGGAGUCUCGAGUUCGAGAGAGGUUGGUGGAACUGCGGGUGUAGAGGUGAAAUUCGCAGAUAUUCGCAAGAACACCAGUGGCGAAGGCGGCCAACUGGCUCGAUACUGACGCUGAGGCGCGAAAGCGUGGGGAU